This 506-nucleotide ribosomal RNA is filed under the name uncultured bacterium. RNAcentral describes it as "bacterial SSU rRNA". It matches the Rfam family "Bacterial small subunit ribosomal RNA", at positions 17 to 518 of the family's 1533-position model. The record is from RNAcentral.
UUAUGGCUCAGGAUGAACGCUAGCGGCAGGCUUAACACAUGCAAGUCGAGGGGCAGCGCGAGUAGCAAUACUUGGCGGCGACCGGCGCAAGGGUGCGUAACGCGUGAGCAACAUGCCCGUAUCAGGGGGAUAAUCCAGGGAAACUUGGUCUAAUACCCCAUAGUAAUUUUGUAAGGCAUCUUAUAAGAUUUAAAGCUUUGGUGGAUACGGAUUGGCUCGCGUGACAUUAGCUGGAUGGUAAGGUAACGGCUUACCAUGGCUAUGAUGUCUAGGGGUUCUGAGAGGAAGGUCCCCCACACUGGAACUGAGACACGGUCCAGACUCCUACGGGAGGCAGCAGUGAGGAAUAUUGGACAAUGGAUGGAAAUCUGAUCCAGCCAUGCCGCGUGAAGGAAGAAGGUCCUAUGGAUUGUAAACUUCUUUUGUAUGGGAGCAAUAAGGCCUACGAGUAGGUUGAUGAGAGUACCAUACGAAUAAGCACCGGCUAACUCCGUGCCAGCCGCCGC